Molecule: long non-coding RNA, 206 nt
Filed under: Physcomitrium patens
Lineage: Eukaryota; Viridiplantae; Streptophyta; Bryopsida; Funariales; Funariaceae
Description: long non-coding RNA (PPAT_LNC000402)
Source: RNAcentral
AAGCAAGGCAUGGUUGGAUGAAGGCAAGGAAUAGAGAUCUUCAUUCCUAUUGAUCAAAGGCCAUGCCCAAUUGGCUUCAAGAAGGCUGCCGAAGGCCUUAUUAGGGAUUAGGGUUUUUUUUUGAGGUCAUUUGAGCUUUAGAGACUAGGAUCAUCGAGUUUAGAUUUUUUGAUAUGGAUUAGAUAUAAAUUUUAUGUGAUUAAGAG